ACACGCCAGGAAAGAAAAAACGCGUGUUCUAAGUCUAAUGUUAUAAGGGUAUCCAGGUUAUCUGCUUCUAGUUGAUACAGAGGUGUCGCUGUCGCUGGCUGAUUUCACUGGAAAGCACACACAACCGUCAGAGCGCUCCUAAUGGUGUAACGGACGAGCUUAUUGCGUGGUGGGCUUGUCUGCAUGUUAGAUGCCAAUUUCCUAACUUUCGUGUGAAAUAAUAGGCCACAGAAGCCUGGGCAUGAAAAAAUCAUGCAAUGGGAAAACCUCUUCUUUUCCGCCGUUGAACGCGUUUAUGACCAUACUAGGUUUCCGUAUUUUUAGGGGAACGCUUUUCAUUUCUUUCUGGAGUUCAGCAACAGCAUUAAAUUGCCGUCUUAAUUCUAUUAUUAUGUGGAAAUACAUAUGAUAUUAACUUACUUGUUUAUUUUUCUUGCCACUUAUCGGAUAUCACAUCAUAUUUCAGACGCAAGUUGGAAUUUACCAUACACUCCCAAAGGUUUGGGGCCGUGAAGUGAUCAAGACAAACAUAGGAUUUUUGAAAAAGCUCGUAACCAUCAUUAAAACCGUUUUAUCCUUUUUACUACUGCUUCCGAACUCUCGCAUCCAAGUGUUAGUAACCAUGUUUAAAAGCUGAAACGCACCUAUUGGCUGUUGCCGUAAAGUCACGAGCCUUUCUUGUUAUUCCUAUCCCGAAAUUGAAGUCCCCAUCCAUUUACAUUUCGUUUAUGAAAAAUGGGUGCACUGCUGGCCAAUUUCGAACAGCGAAUGGUCUUCUGCAAUAUAAGACCUUUAGCACCGGUGAACUGUUAGGCGAUGUGACGAUGGCACCAGGGGGUACUUUUGUUUUAGGGUGAGGCGUUGUAUUUAGUGGUUGAGUAGGGAACUCUGUGGGAGGCCAUUAUUUUUUUUUGCUUUACAUUUUUUUAUUACUAUUAUUAUCCACGAGGUGACACUAUUGACCCUAGAUGUGUUGUUUUGGCCACACCUCUGGCCGUCAUGGACGACCGUAUAAGAUUACAGACCCUAAUCAUUCAGUAGGCCUUCAUAGUGUUAGUAAACAUGGGGGGGGGGGGGAGGGGACGCAAAGGAAUAGAGUAACGAGUAGUUGGGUACAA
Daphnia pulicaria is the source of this 1118-nucleotide long non-coding RNA. RefSeq lists it as uncharacterized. The transcript is spliced from 3 exons. Lineage: Eukaryota; Metazoa; Arthropoda; Branchiopoda; Diplostraca; Daphniidae. The record is from RefSeq and is a predicted model, not a curated record.